AAAAAGGUCUUGAUAACCCACAAGUAUAGGGGAUCGCAACAGUUUUCGAGGGUAGAGUAUUCAACCCAAAUUUUUAGAUUCGACACAAGGGGAGCCAAAGAAUAUCUGAAGGUAUUAGGAGCUGAGUUGUCAAUUCAACCACACCAGGAGAUUAAUUAUAUGCAUCAAAAUGAUUAAAAGCACAGUACUAUGAUAGCUUUUAUGAUAGUAGCAGCAACAAUAAUAACUAACGGUUUUAGAAGUGAUUUUGUAGCAAUAACGAUAGCAGUAGCAAGAGUAGUAACUUAGCAUGAACAAUAUAAGGUAAACUAAUAGGCAUUGGAUCGGUGACUCGUUGGAUGAUAUUCAUCAUGAGACAGCUAUAACCUACGGCGAUACAGCACUAGCUCCAGUUCAUAAAUAUAAUGUAGGCAUGUAUUUCGUAAAUAGUCAUACGUGCUUAUGGAAAGAAGUUGCAUGGCAUCUUUUGUCCUACCCUCCAGUGGCAUUGGGGUCCUAUUGGAAACUAAGGGAUAUUAAGACCUCCUUUUAAUAGAGAACCGGAACAAAGAAUUAACACACAGUGAAUACAUGAACUCCUCAAACUACGGUCAUUACCGGGAGUGGUCCCGACUAUUGUCGCUCCGGGGUUGCCGGAUCAUAACUCGUACUAGGUGACUAUAACUUGCAAGAUCGGAUCUAGAACAUGGGUAUAUGGUGAUAACAUAAACAGUUCAGAUCUGAAAUCAUGGCACCCGGUCCCAAAGUGACAAGCAUUAAGCAUGGCAAAGACAUAGCAACAUCAAUCUCAGAACAUAGUGGAUACAAGGGAUCAGGCCCUAAUAAAACUGACUCGAUUACAUGAUGAAUCUCAUCCAACUCCUCAUCGACCAGCGAGCCUACGAAGAAAUUACUCACUCCCGAUGGGGAGCCUCAUGGAGUUGACGAUGGAGGUGUGUUGGUGAUGAUGAAGAUCGAAGACCCCCCUCUCCGGAGCCCCAAACGGACUCCAGAUCUGGCCUCCUGAUGAAGAAUAGAAGACGGUGGCGACUCCGUAUCAUGAAACGCGAUAAUAAUUUCUCAUUAACUUUUUCUGAAAUAAUGUGAUUUUAUAGCGUCGGUUUCAGGGUCAUAGGGGCCACCAAGUGGGGACAACCCACCAGGGCACGCCCUGGUGGGUUGUGCGCACCCCCCCCCCUAAGGUGGCUCUUGGCUCCAGAAUUCUCUUUAUUGAUAUAAAAAAUCCUCGCAAAGUUUCGUUCCAUUCCGAGAACUUUUAUUUCUGCAUAAAAACAACACCAUGGUAGUUCUGCUAAAAACAGCGUUAGUCUGGGGUUAGUUUCAUUCAAAUCAUGCAAAUUAGAGUUCAAAACAAGAGGAAAAUCAUUAGAAAAAGUAGAUACAUUGGAGAUGUAUCAAUAUGCAGCUCGGUGCUUUGACGUCUUUCUGUAAAAUACUUCACGGUACCAUAGAAAAUACCCUCCACAGUCGUUGUAAGUGGCAAAAAGCCAUGUUUCCUCUGAGGACAAAGUUAUAUGUUUCAGCGAAAUUGGUAGUCAUGACACCGUACCUUGCUUCAUGUGUGUCAUGCAAUAGAGACCACGUCUCCAAAGGCUCAUGCUCUAUCCACUGAUCAAAGGUUUAAUCGUCCUUGUAAGCCUUCUCCUUCUACCAGGAGGGUCAAAUCCUGGCAAGACACAAAGCCCAACAGGCUCUUCCUCCACAUCAGUUGAUCCUGUUGCUAGCUAUGCAUCUAAUGCUUCAACAUGUGCCCUCACAGCUGCAUCUCUUGCAUCUCUCCUGUCCCUAACAUGUUUGAGUGUGCAAACAUUAAGGCUGUUACGUAUUAGAUCAUACUUCCAUUGUUGGUUCUUCUUGCAUAGUUUGUUGAAUAGAUUCAUAAGGUUCUUAUUUCUGAACUACGAGAAGAAAUUUGCCCCAAGAUGGCGCAUGCACCAAUGACUCUGUAGGUCCUGCCAUGGAGUUUGUUCAUCGGGACCAGGGUUCGACAAUGUCUUGAUCGCGUUGAGUACACAACAUGCUUGUCAUGAAGGAUGCACACAUUCGGCUUAUCAUGCACGACCGCUAUUUUCAACUGCCUGAAGAACCAUGUCCAACUCUCAAUAUUCUCGCUUUUCACAAAAGCAAAUGCAAGUGGGACGACUUGAUUUUGGCCACCUUGACCAAUGGUUGUGAGGAUCUGAUCCUUGUACUUGCGAGUGAGAAAAGUUCCAUCUACACAUUGUUGGAAAUAUGCCCUAGAGGCAAUAAUAAAAUGGUUAUUAUCAUAUUUCCUUGUUCAUGAUAAUCGUCUAUUGUUCAUGCUAUAAUUGUAUUAACAAGAAACAGUAAUACAUGUGUGAAUAAAUAGAUCACAAUGUGUCCCUAGCAAGCCUCUAGUUGGCUAGCUCGUUAAUCAAUAGAAGAUCAUGGUUUCCUGGUCAUGGGCAUUAGAUGUCAUUGAUAACAGGAUCACAUCAUUGGGAGAAUGAUGUGAUGGACAAGACCCAAUCCUAAGCAUAGCACUAGAUCGUAUUGUUCGUAUGCUAAAGCUUUUCUAAUGUCAAGUGUCUUUUCCUUCGACCGUGAGAUUGUGCAACUCCCGGAUACCGUAGGAAUGCUUUGGGUGUAUCAAACGUCACAACGUAACUGGGUGACUAUAAAGGUGCACUACGGGUACCUCUGAAGGUGUCUGUUGGGUUGGCACGAAUCGAGAUCGGGAUUUGUCACUCCGUGUGACGGAGAGGUAUCUCUGGGCCCACUCGGUAGAACAUCAUCAUGAGCUCAAUGAGAUUAAGAAGUUAGUCAUAGGAUGACGUGCUACGGAACCAGUAAAGAGACUUACCGGUAACGAGAUUGAACAAGGUAUAGGUAUACCGACGAUCGAAUCUCGGGCAAGUUUUAUACUGACAGACAAAGGGAAUUGUAUACGGGAUUGAUUGAAUCCUUGACAUCGUGGUUCAUCCGAUGAGAUCAUCGUGGAACAUGUGGGAGACACCAUGGGUAUCCAGAUCCCGCUGAUGGUUAUUGGUCGGAGAGCGUCUCGGUCAUGUCUGCAUGUUUCCCAAACCCGUAGGGUCUACACACUUAAGGUUCGAUGACGCUAGGGUUAUAGAAAAAUGUUAUACGAGGUUACCGAAAGUUUUUCGGAGUCCCGGAUGAGAUCCCGGACAUCACGUGGAGCUCCAAAAUGGGCCGGAGGUAAAGAUUGAUAUAUAGGAUGGAUGGUUUUGGACGCCGGAAAUGUUUCGGGCGUCACCGGUAGCGUACCGGGACCACCGAGACCUCCGGAAAUGGUCCCGGGGGUCCACCGGGAGGGGCCACCAGCCCCAAGAGCUAGCGUGGGCCAAAAGGUGGAAGGCAACCAGCCCAAAGUGAGAUGGUGCGCCUCCCACAAAAGGGCCCAAGGCGCAGGAGGUGGAGAGGGGGGAAACACUAGGCGGUGGUGGGCCUAAGGCCCACCUAGGGGUGCGCCACCCCCUCCCCCUGCCCUGGCCGCCGCACCUCCCAUCUGGGGGGCUGCCGCACCACCUAGGGUGGGAACCCUAGGGGUGGCACCCCCCUCCCCUCCUCCUAUAUAUGCCUAGGGGUUUGGGGCUAUUUUGCACACCGUUUCUUCUCUCCCUCGGCGCAGCCGUGCUCCUCUCCUUCCUCCUCCUCCCACAGUACUUGGCAAAGCCCUGCCGGGAGACCUCGUCUCUCCAUCGACACCAUGCUGUCGUGUUUUCGGAGAUCUUCCCCAACCUCUACCUCCUCCUUGCUAGAUCAAGGUGCGGGAGACGUCACCGGGCUGCACGUGUGUUGAACACGGAGGUGCCGUGGUUCGGCAGUAGAUCGGAAUCACACCACGUUCUGAUUCGCUGCGAGUAUGACUCCAUCAACCGCGUUCUAGCAACGCUUCCGCUUAGCGAUCUUCAAAGGUAUGAAGAUGCACUCACCCCUCUCUCGUUGCUGGUCUCUCCAUAGGAAGAUCUGAAUAUGGCGUAGGAUUUUUUUUGAAUUUAUGCUACGUUACCCAAUAGUGGUAUCAGAGCCAGGUUUUCUAUGCGUAGAUUCUAUGCACGAGUAGAACACAAGAGGUUGUGGGCGAUGAUUUGUCAAUUGCUUGCCGCUACUAGUCUUAUUAUUUUCCGGUGGUAUUGUGGGAUGAAGCGGCCUGGACCGACUUUAAACGUACGCUUACGUGAGACUGGUUCCACCGACAGACAUGCACACCGUGCAUAAAGGUGGCUAGCGGGUGUCUGUCUCUCCCACUCUAGUCGGAUUGGAUUUGAUGAAAAGGGUACUUAUGAAGGGUAAAUAGCUUUGGCAUAUCAUCGUUGUGGUUGUCACGUAGGUAAAAAGGCGUUUUUGCUAGAAACCCAAAUCAGCCACGUAAAACUUGCAACAACAAUUUGAGGACGUCUAACUUGCUUUUGCAGGGUUUGACAUGUGAUGUGAUAUGGCCAAAGUUGUGAUGUUGCAUGUGUGAUGUAUGAGAUGAUCAUGUUAUUGUAAUAGGAUUCACGACUUGCACGUCGAUGAGUAUGACAACCGGCCGGAGCCAUAGGAGUUGUCUUAAUUUAUUGUAUGAGAUGCAAUGCCAUGUGUUUACUACUUUUAUUUCAUUGCUAACGGUUAGCUAUAGUAGUAAUGAGAGUAGUAGUUGGCAUGACGACUUCACGGAGACACGAUGAUGGAGAUUAUGGUGUCACGCCGGUGACAAUGAUGAUCAUGCGAUGCCUGAAGAUGGAGAUCGAAAGAGCAAAGAUGAUAAUGGCCAUAUCAUGUCACUAUAUGAUUGCAUGUGAUGUUUAUCAUGUUUUUCAUCUUAUUGCUUAGAACGACGGUAGCAUAAUAAGAUGAUCCCUCUUAAAAAAAUCGAGAACGUAUUCCCCUAAGUGUGCACCGUUGCGAAGGAUCGUUGUCUCGAAGCACCACGUGAUGAUCGGGGGUGAUAGAUUCUAACGUUCGCAUACAACGGGUGUAAGCCAGAUUUACACACGCGAAACACUUAGGUUGACUCGACGAGCUUAGCAUGUACAGACAUGAACUCGAAAACAAGAGGCCAAAAGGUCGAACAUGAGUCGUAUGGUUGAAUACGAUCCGCAUGAAGUUGCUCACCAUGACGACAAGUUCGUCUCACGUGAUGAUCGGACACGGGUUAGUCAACAUGGAUCAUGUAUCACUUAGAUGACUAGAGGGAUGUCGAUUUAAAUGGGAGUUCAUACUUAAUUUGAUUAAAUGAACUUAAUUGUCAUGAACAUAGUCUAAAAGUUGUCUUUAUAAAUAUUGUAGAUGGCCAACGUCAACCUCAAUUUCAACGCAUUCCUAGAGAAAAACAAGAUGAAAGAUGAUGGUAGCAACUAUGCGGACUGGGUUCUCAACUUGAAGCUCAUCCUUGAAGCAGCUAAAAAGGCUUAUGUCCUUGAUGCGCCGCUAGGUGACCCUCCUGCUGCUGCAGCAGCCCAGGACAUUCUGGACGUCUGGCAAACGCGGAGUAAUGACUACUCUCUGGUUAGGUGUGGCAUGUUAUACAGUUUGGAAACGGGGCUCCAAAGGCGUUUUGAGCAACACGGUGCAUAUGAGAUGUUCCAAGAGCUGAAACUAGUUUUUCAAGCUCAUGCCCGUGUCAAGAGAUAUGAAGUCUCUGACAAGUUCUUUAGCUGUAAGAUGGAGGAGAACAGUUCUAUCAGUGAGCACAUACUCAAAAUGUCUGGGUUACACGGUCGUCUGACUUCACUUGGAGUUGAACUUCCGGAUGAUACUAUAAUUGACAGAAUCCUCCAGUCUCUCCCACCAAGCUACAAAGGUUUCGUGCUGAACUACAACAUGCAAGGGAUGGAGAAGACCAUUCCCGAGUUGUACUCGAUGCUCAAGUCUGCAGAAGUAGAAAUCAAGAAAGAGCAUCAAGUGUUGAUGGUCAACAAGACCACCAGUUUCAAGAAGGGCAAGGGUAAGAAGAACUUCAAGAAAGACGGCAAAGCCGUUGCCGCGCCUGGUAAGCCAGAUGUCGGGAAGAAGAAAAAGAAUGGACCCAAGCAUGAGACUGAGUGCUUCUAUUGCAAGGGAAAAGGUCACUGGAAGUGGAACUGCUCCAAGUACUUAGCGGACAAGAAGGCCGACGACGUUAAAGGUAUAUAUGAUAUACAUGUUAUUGAUGUGUACCUUACCAGCGCUUGUAGUAGCUCCUGGGUAUUUGAUACAUGUGAUGUUGCUCACAUUUGCAACUCAAAGCAGGAACUGCGGAAUAAGCGGAGACUGGCCAAGGACGAGGUGACGAUGCGCGUCGGGAAUGGCUCCAAGGUCGAUGUGAUCGCCGUCGGCAUGCUACCUCUACAUCUACCGUCGGGAUUAGUUUUAAACCUUAAUAAUUGUUAUUUAGUACCAGCUUUGAGCAUGAAUAUUGUAUCAGGGUCUUGCUUAAUGCGAGACGGCUACUCAUUUAAGUCAGAGAAUAAUGGUUGUUCUAUUUAUAUGAGUGAUAUGUUUUAUGGUCAUGCUCCGCUGGUGAAUGGUUUAUUCUUGAUGAAUCUCGAUCGCGAUGUUACACAUAUUCAUAGGUUAGUACCAAAAGAUGUAAAUUUGAUAAUGAUAGUCCCACAUACUUGUGGCACUGUCGCCUUGGUCAUAUCGGUGUUAAGCGCAUGAAGAAGCUCCAUACUGAUGGACUAUUAGAGUCUCUUGACUUUGAAUCAUUUGACACGUGCGAACCGUGCCUCAUGGGCAAGAUGACUAAGACUCCAUUCUCAGGAAUAAUGGAGAGAGCGAGCGACUUAUUGGAAAUAAUACAUAUUGAUGUGUGUGGUCCAAUGAACGUUGAAGCUCGCGGUGGCUACCGUUAUGUUCUCACUCUUACCGAUGAUUUGAGUAGGUAUGGGUAUAUCAACUUGAUGAAGCACAAAUCUGAGACGUUUGAAAAGUUCAAGGAAUUUUAGAGUGAGGUUGAGAAUCAACGUGACAGAAAAAUUAAGUGUCUACGAUCUGAUCGUGGAGGAGAAUAUUUGAGUCACGAGUUUGGCACACACCUAAGGAAGUGUGGAAUCGUUUCACAACUGACGCCGCCUGGCACACCGCAACUCAACGGAGUGUCUGAACGUCGUAAUCGCACUUUAUUAGAUAUGGUACGAUCUAUGAUGUCUCUUACCGACUUACCGCUAUCAUUUUGGGGAUACGCAUUAGAAACUGCAGCAUUCACUUUAAAUAGGGCACCGUCUAAAUCUGUUGAGACGACACCGUAUGAACUAUGGUUUGACAAGAAACCUAAGCUGUCGUUUCUUAAAGUUUGGGGCUGCGAUGCUUAUGUGAAGAAACUUCAACCAGAGAAGCUCGAACCCAAAGCGGAGAAAUGCGUAUUCAUAGGAUACCCCAAGGAAACUGGGUAUACCUUCUAUCUUAGAUCCGAAGGUAAAACCUUUGUUGCCAAGAACGGAUCCUUUCUAGAGAAAGAGUUUCUCUCAAAAGAAGUAAGUGGGAGGAAAGUAGAACUUGAUGAGGUAAUUACACCCGCUCUCAAACCGGAGAGUAGCGCAGCGCGGGAAAUUGUUCCUAUGGCGCCUAUGCCAACUGAAGAGGAAGUUAAUGAUGAUGAUCAUGAAGCUUCGGAUCAAGUUGCUACUGAACCGCGAAGGUCCACAAGGGUACGCUCCGCACCAGAGUGGUACGGCAACCCUGUGAUGGAAAUCAUGUUGUUAGACAACGGUGAACCUUCGAACUAUGAAGAAGCAAUGGCGGGCCCGGAUUCCAACAAAUGGCUUGAGGCUAUGAAAUCCGAGAUAGGAUCCAUGUAUGAGAACAAAGUAUGGACUUUGGUGGACUUGCCCGAUGAUCGGCGAGCCAUAGAAAAUAAAUGGAUCUUCAAGAAGAAGACUGAUGCAAACAGAAAUGUGACCGUUUAUAAGGCUCGACUUGUCGCAAAGGGUUUUCGACAAAUUCAAGGAGUUGACUACGAAGAGACUUUCUCUCUCGUAGCGAAGCUAAAGUCAGUCUGAAUCAUGUUAGCAAUUGCCGCUUUUCAUGAUUAUGAAAUUUGGCAAAUGGACGUCAAAACAGCAUUCCUUAACGGGAAUCUUAAGGAAGAGUUGUAUAUGAUGCAACCAGAAUGUUUUGUCGACCCUAAGGGUGCUAACAAAGUGUGCAAGCUCCAGCGCUCCAACUAUGAUCUGGUGCAAGCAUCUCGGAGUUGGAACAUUUCCUUUAAUGAGGUGAUUAAAGCGUUUGGGUUCAUACAGGUUUAUGGAGAAGCCUGUUUGUACAAGAAAGUGAGUGGGAGCUCUGUAGCUUUCCUCAUACUGUAUGUGGAUGACAUAUUAUUGAUGGGGAAUAAUAUAGAGAUGUUGGAGAGCAUAAAGGCCUAUUUGAAAAAGAGUUUUUCGAUGAAGGACCUUGGAGAAGCUGCAUACAUAUUAGGCAUCAAGAUCUAUAGAGAUAGAUCGAGACGCCUAAUAGGUCUUUCGCAAAGUACAUACCUUGACAAGAUAUUGAAGAAGUUCAAUAUGGAAAACUUAAAGAAGGGGUUCUUACCUGUUUUGAAGGUAUGAGAUUGAGUAAGACUCAGUCACCGACCACGGCAGCAGAUAGAGAGAAGAUGAGUAUUGUCCCCUAUGCUUCAGCCGUAGGCUCUCUAAUGUAUGACAUGUUGUGUACCAGACCUGAUAUAAACCUUGCCAUAAGUUUGGUAGGGAGGUACCAAAGUGAUCCCGGUAUGGAACACUGGACAGCGGUCAAGAAUAUCCUUAAGUACCUGAAGAGGACUAAGGAGAUGUUUCUCGUUUAUGGAGGUGACGAAGAGCUCGUCGUAAAGGGUUACGUCGAUGCUAGCUUCGACACAGAUCCGGAUGACUCUAAGUCACAGACCGGAUACGUGUAUGUUUUGAAUGGUGGGGCAGUGAGCUGGUGCAGCAGAAAGCAAGAAGCCGUGGCAGCAUCUACAUGUGAAGCGGACUACAUAGCUGCUUCAGAAAGGGCUCAUGAAGGAAUUUGGAUGAACGAGCUCAUCACCGACCUUGGAGUGGUCCCAAGCGCGUCGGGUCCAAUGACACUCUUCUAUGAUAACACUGGGGACAUUGCCAUAGCCAAGGAGCCCAGGUUUCACCGGAAGACCAAGCACAUCAAACGCCGCUACAACUCCAUCCAGGACCAUGUCCAGAGUGGAGUAAUAGAUAUUUGUAAAGUACACACGGAUCUGAAUGUUGCAGACCCGUUGACUAAACCUCUUCCUCGAGCAAAACAUGAUCAACACCAUAAUGCUAUGGGUGUUCGAUACAUCACAAUGUAACUAGAUUAUUGACUCUAGUGUAAGUGGGAGACUGUUGGAAAUAUGACCUAGAGGCAAUAAUAAAAUGGUUAUUAUCAUAUUUCCUUGUUCAUGAUAAUCGUCUAUUGUUCAUGCUAUAAUUGUAUUAACAGGAAACAGUAAUACAUGUGUGAAUAAAUAGAUCACAAUGUGUCCCUAGCAAGCCUCUAGUUGGCUAGCUCGUUAAUCAAUAGAUGAUCAUGGUUUUCUGAUCAUGGGCAUUAGAUGUCAUUGAUAACGGGAUCACAUCAUUGGGAGAAUGAUGUGAUGGACAAGACCAAUCCUAAGCAUAGCACUAGAUCGUAUUGUUCGUAUGUUAAAGCUUUUAUAAUGUCAAGUGUAUUUUCCUUCGACCGUGAGAUUGUGCAACUCUCGGAUACCAUAGGAGUGCUUUGGGUGUAUCAAACGUCACAAUGUAACUGGGUGACUAUAAAGGUGCACUACGGGUACCUCUGAAGGUGUCUGUUGGGUUGGCACGAAUCGAGAUCGGGAUUUGUCACUCCGUGUGACGGAGAGGUAUCUCUGGGCUCACUCGGUAGAACAUCAUCCUGAGCUCAAUGUGAUUAAGAAGUUAGACACACGAUGACGUGCUACGGAACCAGUAAAGAGACUUAUCGGUAACGAGAUUGAACAAGGUAUAGGUAUACCGACGAUCGAAUCUCGGGCAAGUUUUAUACCACACACAAAGGGAAUUGUAUACGGGAUUGAUUGAAUCCUUGACAUCGUGGUUCAUCCGAUGAGAUCAUCGUGGAACAUGUGGGAGCCACCAUGGGUAUCCAGAUCCCGCUGAUGGUUAUUGGCCGGAGAGCGUCUCGGUCAUGUCUGCAUGUUUCUCGAACCCGUAGGGUCUACACACUUAAGGUUUGAUGACGCUAGGGUUAUAGGGAAAUGUUAUACGAGGUUACCGAAAGUUGUUCGGAGUCCCGGAUGAGAUCCCGGACGUCACGAGGAGCUCUGGAAUGGUCCGGAGGUAAAGAUUGAUAUAUAGGAUGGAUGGUUUUGGACGUCGAAAAUGUUUCGGGCAUCACCGGUAGCGUACCGAGACCAUCGGGACCACCGGAAAUGGUCCCGGGGGUCCAGCGGGAGGGGCCACCAGCCCCAAGAGGUAGCAUGGGCCAAAAGGUGGAGGGCAACCAGCCCAAAGUGGGCUGGUGCACCUCCCACAAAAGGGCCCAAGGCGCAGGAGGUGGAGAGGGGGAAACCCUAGGCGCUGGUGGGCCUAAGGCCCACCUAGGGGUGCGCCACCCCCUCCCCCUGCCCUAGUCGCCGCACCUCCCAUUUGGGGGGGCUGCCGCACCACCUAGGGUGGGAACCCUAGGGGUGCCACCCCCCUCCCCUCCUCCUAUAUAUACCUAGGGGUUUGGGGCUAUUUUGCACACCGUUUCUUCUCUCCCUCGGCGCAACCCUGCUCCUCUCCUUCCUCCUCUUCCCAUGGUGCUUGGCGAAGCCCUGCCGGGAGACCUCGUCUCUCCAUCGACACCACACCGUCGUGCUGCCGGAGAUCUUCCCCAACCUCUCCCUCCUCCUUGCUGGAUCAAGGUGCAGGAGACGUCACCGUGCUGCACGUGUGUUGAACGCGGAGGUGCCGUGGUUCGGCACUAGAUCGGAAUCACACCACGAUGUGAAUCGCCGCGAGUACGACUCCAUCAACCGCGUUCUAUCAAUGCUUCCGCUUAGCAAUCUUCAAAGGUAUGAAGAUGCACUCAUCCCUCUCUCGUUGCUGGUCUCUCCAUAGGAAGAUCUGAAUAUGGCGUAGGAUUUUUUUUUGAAUUUAUGCUACGUUACCCAACACACAUAUCACCGGUUGACAAUGUCUGAAAGCUUCGAUGCAGACAUCGAAAGAGAAGAACAACCGAUGCAACACCCUCACAGUUGGGAACUCUCGGAUGAACAUGUCUUGGAUGUCGACAUAGGUGCCAGGAUUCCGGUUCUGCAGUGUGUGCACGAGCCAGACAACAGAGUCAUAUGCAUCAAAAUACGAACCAAAUCUGGUCUCAAGUGCCCUCUGCUUAGCCCUCCAAGCCUUUCCAUAAGAAAUUUUGUACUUGAACCUGAUGAAGACUUUUGUCUGGAUAGCCUUAACUUCCAUCGCUUUGCUCUCCACUAUCUUGUUGUAAAGCAACCGAGCAAUGACCGUGGAAGUAAGGUUAUGAUGAUCUUGAGGGAUACAUGGAAUAACACAAGUAUGAUGAACUAUGCCACUUAUGACCCAGCUUGUGCCAUACUUAGGGAGAUAGCCAUGCACCCUUGCGGGACAACCCUGGUUUCUGCGUACCAUUGUCAAGUUUUUCGGACUUGAAACAUCAGCUACAAAAACCCUUUGCAUGGACAUUGCCCAAUCAAUGAUUGCAUCCUUCAAAGCUUGUUUGUUUGGGUACAGGGCACGUGUCACAAUGUUGUCUUGAUGAUACUGCGCGGCAGAAUCAUGACCAUCGUUCACGAUCAUUGCAGAUGAGAAUUCCCGAUUCCAUGAUGCAGGAAUAGGCGCUUCAUGUGCGUUCUCUUCUUCGUCUGACUUAGCGGAAUCAUCGGCAAUAUCACCUUCUCUAUCUUCUUCAUGCAUCUCGUUUUGCAUGCGCCCGUUUAUCUCGUCAGCGUCCGCCUCGCAACUGACAUAAUUUCCUCCUUCUACCUAACUGCUCUGCCCUGCUUCGUAAACAUCAUCUCCAGCAUGGGACGCAUAAUUUUGCUGUGAAUCAUGCAUCCCUUCAAUGCUCUGGCCAUAAUCGUAACUAUAUUCGGCUUCAGUUGCACUAACCGGCUUCAGCACGGGCAGCAGUAAGGCGACAUGAUUACAUCCCCUACGCUCGCAAGCUUUUUCAUUAGGGCAACGAUCUGUGUCGGCGCGCCGGUGCAGACGUUUCGGCCAGUCAACGCCCCAGCGUAGGAUACAUGCACAUGUAACCGUCCGAUCCAGAAAAAAAAAUCCCCUCCUCGCUCUCACCGCCUCCCGCUAGCUUGCUCGUCGGCGUGCUCGCCAGGACGCUCGUCGGAGCCGCGUGCAAGCCAACAUGCUCGUUAGAACCGNNNNNNNNNNNNNNNNNNGCUCUCUGGAGCUGCUCGUCGGCGCGCUUGUCAGAGCCGCUCGCCGGAGCUGCUCGUCGGCUUGCUCGCCGGAGCUGCUCGUCGGCUUGUUCACCGGAGCUGCUCGUCCUUGCCGGAGCCGAUCGUCGGUACUUGUGUUGUUGUCAAGCUCGUUGCUUGUAGGAGAGGUUGCGGCGGUCAAAACUUUUUCCCCUGGUCGUCGCUCGUUGAAGCUUUUCACACAUACGGUUGAAGCUUUUUCUAGAACGGUUGUAACUUUUCUGAUUGUGCAGUGUAUGGUUGUAGCUUUCUCUUCCAAUGAUUGGAACUUUUUUCCUCUACGGUCGAAGCUUUUAUGUAAAGGGUUGCAACUAUUAUCUUUUAGCAGCGCUCGAUUAAUGCGCUCUCUAUUGUUUCAGUUGCAGCUUUUUUCAUCAACGGUUGAAACAUUUUAGGUCAACGGUUGCAGCAUUCCGUCAUGGCAAUGACCGUUUGUAGAUUUUAUAUGUAUGGUUGCAGCUAUUUUCAUCAACGGUUGUUGCAUUUUAUGUCAACGGUUGUAGCAUCGCGGGUCGGGAUCUGCGGGGGCGCAUCUCGCGGUCGAACUGGUCGGACAUAGUCGUGGACAUAAAGCUUUUUCAAACCAACAGUCGAAGCUUUUUCAAUGAUUGAAGCUUUUUCUCAUGGAUUGAAGCUUUUCAUUCCAUGCUCUUGAAGCUUUUUCAAUGGCCAAGAGAAGAGCUGGAGGAGGAAGAAUAGCGGUUGGUGGAUGGAUAAGGCAUUAGAUAUGUGGCUAGGAAAGAGUCUGUUGCACAUGGACUGGAUGGGUAAACGAGGACCACUUGAUUAAAAGUGAAUCCAACGUCCCGCGCGCGACCGGCGGAAGACUCAGCCGGCGCGCCGGGUAUAAACAAUUUCCUUUUCAUUAACAUGGAGAAUAUUUAGGUGGUUUUGAGCGAAAUAAUAGAUGGUUAGAUUUCAUCACGAACCAUUAAAACCCGGAGGUUGAUCGAAGACGGUUAGGUAUCAAAAUGGGUACACAACAAACGAAGAACAAACUCUUCCUUUCAUUAUCUCCCCUAAUAAUAAACCACGUAUCGCUUCUGUCGUCCGUCGCUAGCGUUUUUGCAGAAAAGUCCUUCUGUUCUUUCGAAAUCAACCCGCAGUCCUAUAGUAAGUGGAAAAAAACGUUUCAGGUCGUGACGCGGAUCUCGGCGGGGAACGACUGCAGAGGUUGCAUCUCUGGCCGAGCUAGGCCAUGGGGAGGGCGGCGGCGCGCGGAUCUCGGCGGGGAAUGGUUGCAUAGGUUGCAGCUCUGGCCGAGCUAGGCCAUGGGGAGGGCGGCGGCUCGCGGAUCUCGGCGGGCGACGGGCGGCGCGACGCUGGGCGAGGGGGCUUCGAUCUGAUUAGAGGAGAUCUUCGAGGACUACGAGGCGGUUGUGCCCUUCUACGCGCUGGCCGGACUGGGCGUCGCCGUCCACUGCGCCGUGCCGCCCCGUCCCCUCCGCCUCCGUCGACGCCGGUGAUGCGGGGCCGCCGCGAUGGACGCCCUGUCCCUCAUCGACGUCUCCGGCAAGGAGGACGACUUCCUCGUGGACCUGGCCUCGCCACCGCAGCACCCCAACCCGCCACCGCCGCCCCGCCCCGCUCCAGGUGAGUCAACCGGCUCGCCGUCCCCCGUGACCGUUCCUUCCAUUUCGGCGCGUGCGUGGGUCGCGCCUCCGAUCUGACGCGCAGUGCUACGUUUCCCCCCUCUUGCAGCGGCUUCGGCGGUGGCCGCCGAUUCGGAGCAGCCCGCCGCCGGAUCUCCUCCUCCUCCGGCGGGGCAGGCCGUGGACCCCGCGGAGCAGGCCCCGGAGCGGGCGCAGUCCCCGAAGAAGGCCAAGCCCAAGGGCGGCGUCAACCUCCGCAAGAGCCUCGCCUGGGACAAGGCCUUCUUCACCAGCGAAGGUCUGCGCGUCGCCUGGCACGAAAUCUCUGUUGUUCCGUGACUGUUGCGUGUCAUAAUACGCAUUGUAGGCUCAUGGAUACUGAUCUGGAUUGCUGCCACCAGUCCUGCCAGAUCCUAACGUUUCCCUUUCCAGCUCCGUAGUUGUCUUUUGUUAUAGCAGACCUGUUAUUAUCCUGAUGCGUUGAUUGAUAGCAGCUAACGCUUCCUCCUGGUCUGAGCAGGCGUUCUGGAUACCGAGGAAUUGGGCAUUGUGACAGCACUUUCCGCAAGUCGCAUGGUUCAAGGCUACUGCCAGGAAUAGCAGAGGAACUGAGGAGGUCAACCGAGUCCACUACCUCAACGCUGGACAGCGAAAGCUUUGUGCUGGAAAGCCUUGAGACAGAGCUGUUUGACAAUGUCCGUGCUUCGAUUCAGAGAACACUUGGAAAACCUGAUAAAGCUCCAGGCGUGGCUUUUGCUAGCUCAAAGACCCCUAGGGCAACAGCAAAGGCACCUCCUGUCACAGGUAGCAUGUUACAAACUCACAAGUUGAUGCGAAAAUGCUAAUUUCUUAUGUUGUAACUUCAGAAAGCACCGUCUGCUCUAUUUUUUAACUAAUGUGAUUGCCGUGUUGCUACUUUCCAGCGAGAAAUGGGGUUGAUCGGAUACCUCCUGUUUCCUGCAGUACUUGUUAAUGCUGCCUCAGAUAAGGCCUCCUGCUUCAACAAGCAAUGGGUCUGUUGGUGGUAGCAAGCAAAGGCCCAAGUCACCCUGAAAGAGCCUGCACCUGGAAGAGUGGUAUGUUACAUGCUUGUAAUUCCAGAAUAUCCAUGAACUUUCUGUAGUUAACUAGAGGUUUAGGAUUUGUGGGAUGCUUGCUACAUUCACCAGGAUGCUAUAAUUGUAGUGAACCAUUUCUUGCAUUUACCGAUAAUUAGCUUACUUGUGAAACCUUAUUGCGAAACUGCACAGAACUAAUUAAAAAAAGCUCCAGUUAGAUAAUUUUGUUAUCUUUUAGGGGGAACAAAGCUGGCCACUUGCUUGUAUAAGGGCAACGGAACGGCAGGUGGGACUUGACUGUUUAGUUGGUGCUACUGGCAUUGCUUGGUGGAAGGGCAUAUGUAAAAAAAUGUUUUCGCUUCUCCAACGUAUGGCGGAGGGCAUUUUGUAGAUAAGAUAUACCAGUAGCAAGUAAUUUGUGCUGUAGUCUUAGUGACGUGGCAUACGGUACGGGUGCCAACAGAAAGCGACCACAUCCGCAACGCAAGACCGCAACCGAGUUGCUUUUGCUGGCUGCCCCAAGCUUGGUCUCAAUUCUGGGAAAUACUUACUACGUAGCCGACUGGUCGUGCCUUAGAAACAAAGGCAGAGAAAGAGAUGAGCGUCACCUUAGCCGCGUGAGCAAAUCACACGGACGGAACCACAAAAUCACGGCAGCUACCGGCAGGCUUACGCCGCUGAUCCGGACCGGAGGCAACCACAACCUCACCUUGGGGCUGCCCCAACCGUGUGCACUCGAUUUAUAAGGUAUGAACAGGAUACAAAAUUAAAAUGUAGUUUGGAUUUGCCAGAUACCAAAAUUACACAAAAUCAUGAUUUAAAAACAUAAAUAAAAUAUAUACAAACAACAUAUCUCCCCUAAUAAUAAAGCACGGAACGCUUAUGUCGUCCGUCGUGGCAGUUUUGCAAAACUGUGAUAUUUUUGUCCCGUUGGAAUAUGAGAGCAUCACUUUAUUUUUGUUCAAUCACAGAAAAUGGAUCACGACUUUGAAUCAAUCAUUGUUGCUUGUAAUAUUAGUUGGAAACUAGAUAUAUGGAUUAGAGAAAUCCAGGUUAAGCAUUGAUCUAGAGAUUGGAUGUCCGAUCCACUAACUUAACUGUAAAACUGUGAUAUUUUUGUCCCGUUGCAACGCACGGGCACUUGUCCUAUCAAUACUAAUACUAAUAUUAAGUAAAACUAGUACAUUACAUACAUCCACCCGAUGUAGGAUUGAUCGAUGAGAUUCUUAUUUGACAGCAGCUAACGGCAGCAAAAAGAAAAACAGGGAACGAGAGCCCGUGAAAGAAAUAAAGCAUGCGCUUGCCUGGCGGACAUAGAUAAUCAAGCUGCCUUUCUUCAUGGAAUGUCUUGGCAAUUCGCUUCAACGCAGACAUCUAUGCACUCAGGGUCGUGUUUACCUAUCAAAUGAUGGCAGUGUACCUGGCAAUCAACAAUGCAGUUCCAGCACUCUUGGCUUGGGGACGGGUUGGCCUCGUCGCAUUCGGCCGCCGCCGGCUCGGCUAUGAGCAGCUGCCCGACGAAGAGGGCCAGCACAAACAUGGCUGCCAUCUUCGGCGAGGCGUAGGAGCUGGAACCCAUUGCAAUCGAUGGAUCGACUCGACCUAGAUAUGCAAUGCACUAUGUAUAUAUGCUUUUAAUCGAGGCUUGACAUGCGAUGAGAGUAGAGACGAGCCUCCUAUUUAUGGCCAUCUUGCUAGCUUAGGAUCUGAUCUUAAUCCAGAUCACCCAACUAAUCAAACUUACUUAUUGUGGUUAUGGAGGGAGUGGUGAGAUUAUUGACCAACUGUAGCAUAAUACUAUAGUACAAGCAUCUCAUAUGAAAUCCGAUUACUCAAGGAUCCUCUCGGUCCCCGACUUAUUCUGUCAACUCCCUUUACACAUUAGACUAGCAGCAUUUGUUGGUUAUGCGUGUUCCUCGUGCUCAGUUUAAAAUCGAGUGACAGGCUGUUGGCAAGUGGCCAUGAUUUGCACAUGCCUCAUGGAGUAGGAAGUAGGAACUACUCUCUCUGUCCUACAAUAAAUGACGUGUCGAUUUAGUAUAAAAUUUAUGUUAUUUAAUAUUGAACUUGCAAUGCAUAUUUUGAGAUGGAGGAAGUACUAUAUUAGCACGAUAAUGGAAUGGCGUGUUGCUGCGCCUCCAUAUUAAAGUAAGUAUUCAUAUAUGUUUUUUCAGAAAAGGAGGAUGCACAGCCGGCCUCUUCAUCUCGACGAUGCAUGCGGCCAUUUUAUUAAUUAUUCAUCAAGACCUUUACAAAGUAAUACAUCAUGUCGCUACAUCUAUCCCAUUGAUAAAGGGGUGUCAAAUGUCCAGGCCAAAUACCAAACAGACAU
RNAcentral lists this long non-coding RNA (17319 nucleotides) under Hordeum vulgare. RNAcentral describes it as "long non-coding RNA (HVUL_LNC013557)". Lineage: Eukaryota; Viridiplantae; Streptophyta; Magnoliopsida; Poales; Poaceae. The record is from RNAcentral.